AGCGUCAAGCAGUCAAAAGAUCAUGCUGGAAAACAUAGCAGAUGGGACCCAACUAGAGAGGAGAAGCCGCAAGGGGCCUAGGGAAGAACCAAGUCAAACCUGAUCUCAGCCAGCUGCAGAAGGACAUGGCAGAUACCAACCAACUAUGCAAAGUUUUGAAGUUUUAGACUUUUUUAAAGUAAAGAUUUAAAGUUUAUCUUUCGAUUGUCUUUGUAUUUGCAUAUUUGUAUUUAUAACAGGUAACAAAAUUGUAAGACAAGUACAAAGUUUCAAAAAUUGUUUAAUUAAAGCUGUUAGGAAGAUUCAA
Molecule: long non-coding RNA, 307 nt
Organism: Branchiostoma floridae (Florida lancelet)
Lineage: Eukaryota; Metazoa; Chordata; Leptocardii; Amphioxiformes; Branchiostomatidae
Exons: 2
Source: RefSeq, a predicted model, not a curated record